UGUUAAAAAUUUUAUCUAUUUUUACCAUUAAAAACUGACAUAAUUAAUGGAAUAACUAGAAACGUGUACAUCAUGUUGAUUUAUAAGGGCCAGUCCUUAACAGUAAAAACUGAUAAUUUUUUUAACA
This is a non-coding RNA of Gossypium raimondii (Peruvian cotton), 127 nucleotides long. Lineage: Eukaryota; Viridiplantae; Streptophyta; Magnoliopsida; Malvales; Malvaceae. The record is from Rfam.